GUCAGAGUUUGAUCCUGGCUCAGAUUGAACGCUGGCGGCAUGCUUUACACAUGCAAGUCGAACGGUAACAGGUUAAGCUGACGAGUGGCGAGCGGGUGAGUAAUGCAUCGGAACGUGCCCGAUCGUGGGGGAUAACGCAGCGAAAGCUGCGCUAAUACCGCAUACGAUCUGAGGAUGAAAGCGGGGGACCGUAAGGCCUCGCGCGAUUGGAGCGGCCGAUAUCAGAUUAGGUAGUUGGUGGGGUAAAGGCUCACCAAGCCAACGAUCUGUAGCUGGUCUGAGACGGACGACCAGCCACGACGUGGGGACUGACGACACGGCCAGACUCCGUACGGGA
RNAcentral lists this ribosomal RNA (337 nucleotides) under uncultured Hydrogenophaga sp. Its description in RNAcentral is "bacterial SSU rRNA". It matches the Rfam family "Bacterial small subunit ribosomal RNA", at positions 1 to 346 of the family's 1533-position model. Lineage: Bacteria; Pseudomonadati; Pseudomonadota; Betaproteobacteria; Burkholderiales; Comamonadaceae. The record is from RNAcentral.